CCAUAUCUUUUUUUGGAGUACGUAAAAAGGGAUGUGACAAAUAUACAUACAAGUAUAAAAAAGUAGGCAAACAAGUAGCAAAACAAAUUCUUUCAAACACUCCAAACUAACAGAAUCCAAAACUAAAAUAACAAUACCACCUAAUACUCCAUUUCAUCCUCUCUAUCAUCCUCGUCCUCUUCACCAUCAUCAUCAGAGCUAGGGGAUAGAGAACGAGGAAACUUGAUUAACGUAUUUACUUGAGCCUUGAGUUCUUGGAUGUCUGACUCAAGUGUUGUCCUAUGUCGCUGCUCUCCAUCCUUCUUUUUCGUUUCUCCUCGUACUUUCUGUCGUAUCUCCUCAAUGUGAUCAUUUGGCAUGGUUGCGGACCCCCUAUACCUUGCAAUCCACACUGGAGGCCUCCGCUACUUCGAGCUUUAAAAAAUAUGCAUGACAAUAGAAAAGACGCUUUCUUCUUAAAUUUAUUUUGAAUAGCAUGAUCCUCGAAAAGGCUCCAUAUAAAGUUUUUCUGCAAACAACAUAUAUAGCUUUGAGGCAAGAACAAAUUUCAUUCCAACUGUGACUAUUGUGUGAUAACCAACCAAAUAUCUAAUUAUAACAAUUCUCAGAAUCUUGACUACGCUAAUAACAUAGGAAAAUAGUGUAAGUGAAACUGUUAGCUUACAAUUUAAACAACAUUUCUCAACUAAAAGCCCACGUAAUAAUAGGCCACUAGAUUAAUAGAUAAACUUCCAAGCAAGUGUACAGGUCACCUUGAACCCAUUUUAUCAAGGUGAAUAUUUUCAAGACAAAAUGAGUUUUUAUUACCAUUUUAUCUCCAACUAACAAGCCUUAUUAACUCUUUCAUUAUUGACAUAGGAAAAUAAGGCCUAAACAACUGGAAUUUAGUAGUAUCUAUUCACAUACAGCCUGGAAUUAAGUAGACAACUGAAAUUUAGUUACCUCAGUCUCUCCUUAUUAGCGCUAAGUAGCUCGAAAUCUUAAAAAAUGUGAUCGCACCCGUGUUGAAUCCUACAAAAAUACACUACUUUUGAAGGACCCGACAUACACUUGAUGACCUUUUCAAAGAGUCCGAGCAACAUGGAUAUUAGUUUCUCUACUACACUUCAGCAUGCUACUUUUUAGUCCACCAUCUCUCAUUUCUAGAUCCUUGUUUAUAUACCUGAAAGUACCUCAAAUAUUUUUGAUCUAAACUUUUAGCAAUUUUAUAUCUAAAUUGAUCAAAAUAUUAAACAGAAUGCUCUAAGCAAUUCUAACAAAGGACCAACCUAUGAUGUGUUGUCCAGUUUACAAAUCCAACUCCAACUUGUGUACAUUAACUUUCUUGAUAACUAACAUGACACCUCCUUCUAGUAUUCCUCGAAAAUGUCUCAUGUAUGACCAUUCUUGAUAAGGUUUGUUUGAUCGAAGUUGCUUUUGACUUGUAGUAUCUGAUUGUAAGUAAUUAAUGAUUUGAUCGAGAAAGAUACAUCACUAAAGAAAUUUACUGGUGCCUAAUUAUUGGCUCCUUCCACAACAGGACUUAUGCCUCUCUUGUUUGAAUUUCCUCUGUAGCAUAUCUUUAAAAACAAUUAAAUGGCUAAUGCCAAAAGCAUUAGGACACCAACUACAACAAAAAAAACAACCAUUACAAGCAAACGUUCCACUCAAUGAUCAAGAAAUCUAGUCAACUUUUUGCAUUAAGCUUUCAACAGUUUUCUUCUAAAAUCGGGUGCUUAUUGUUGCUGUUAGUUUAUAGGGAUAUACAAUUGAAUUACAUUGUACUUGUUAUAUAACAAUAUACCCAACGAUUUGUAUCACUAGUUUAGGCUCCAUUCCAAUAGAGAAAGAAAGAACCAUAGCAGGUAUAAGAAUUACCCACAAGAGUAAAAAGAAAUAUGAUCAGUAAUCGUUGCAGCGCCAAUGCUUCUCUAGUGAAGAUCAUGCAAUAAGAAUCAAUCCACUUUAUAUAUCCUAACCAGCAAUCCCAUGAAAACCAUUUGCAUCUUCACACACACACACACAAACACACACACACACACACCCUUUUUAAAUCAAGGUUCUAUUGAAAAUAAAGUCUCUACCUUCUAAGUUAGGGGUAAAGUUUUCUUACACACUAUUCUCCCCAAAGCCCAUUUGUGAAAUUACACUUGGUAUGAUGUUAUUGUUGUCUUAGCAAUUCAAAAAAAUCCAAAAGCUUACAACUAAAAUCUAAUCCUACUAAUGUUGCUUUCUAGAAUGGUUCCACAGUCGACAUUCCCGCUACACGGCUAAAUCAUUGUAUCUUUCAAUUCUAGUACUGCAUUAUCAGAUUCGGAUCAACUAAUUAAAUUAUAUAUGAGUCACUUUGUCAUAAAUAAAUAAGAGACCACAAAAUAUUGAUAAAAAAACAUCACCAACAAUUAAAAAAUAUAGCAACUUUUACAAAUCUGACAAACAAAAAGGGAAAAGGGCCACAAUAUACAAUAAAAUAUGAACAUUUUGCUGAAAAAUCUAAAAAAAUUCAUUAUUUAGUAGAUUGAAGACAGAGAUAAAAUAUAUCUAUAAUUAAUAAAAAUUAUUAUCCAAAAUAAAAGGAGAACUUACUGUAGUUCAAAGAGAAUGUAGGGAGGGGAGCUUAGACAUUAGGGAGCUUUGGAGAGGAA
Molecule: long non-coding RNA, 2624 nt
Filed under: Capsicum annuum
Lineage: Eukaryota; Viridiplantae; Streptophyta; Magnoliopsida; Solanales; Solanaceae
Description: long non-coding RNA (CANN_LNC000013)
Source: RNAcentral